RNAcentral lists this long non-coding RNA (228 nucleotides) under Mytilus galloprovincialis (Mediterranean mussel). Lineage: Eukaryota; Metazoa; Mollusca; Bivalvia; Mytilida; Mytilidae. The record is from RNAcentral.
GUUGGUAGGCGGGGUCAUUAGACACUUUUUUAAAAUAGAUAACCUAGUAAUGAUUGUGGCCAAGUUUGGUUAAAUUUGGCCCAUAGUUUUAGAAAAGAAGAUUUUUGUACAAAUUACAAAAAUGACAAAAAGUUGUUCAAUAUUGACUAUAAAGGACAAUAACUCCUUAAGGGGUUCUCUGAUAAUUUUGGUCAUGUUGACUUAUUUGUAGAUCUUUCUUUGCUGAAC